This 679-nucleotide unclassified non-coding RNA is filed under the name Hevea brasiliensis (rubber tree). Lineage: Eukaryota; Viridiplantae; Streptophyta; Magnoliopsida; Malpighiales; Euphorbiaceae. The record is from RNAcentral.
AACAUUCUCAGGAAUCAUCUCUGCCUGCUGCAACAGAUGGCCUCUUUGGUUCUUUUAGGUUCUGGGUUAUUGUUUUAUGGGCAGUUUCUGGUUUAGGUUUUGUGGCAGUCAUGUUCACUGUGUUUUUAGGUCGUAAAAGUAAGGGAACUAAGGGGAAAAGUUACAGAAGCAAGAGAAGAUCAUCUUAUUCAGGAUUCUUGGACAUGAAUGGCCGUGAAAGGCUUCUCCACAAUGCUGAAUCAUCCAUGUAACCUUAAAAAUUUUAGAGGACACAAUGAUUUACAGAGAAUUGAGCAUUACAGAGCUUCAUGGAAAGUCUUGAGGCAAAUUUCACAAGCAUAUGAAUGCAGCAAAACAGUGUAGAAUAUUUUCCCAAAAAAGAGGCACUACCACGGAAAAGUUUUGGCUGCUACUUCUAUUGUUGUAACUUUGACCUGUCCCUAGUUUUAUUUCAAUGCAAUAGAAGAAACAAUGAAAGCUUGAAAACAUUUUCUUCAUAAUCUCUAAAUUUUUGAAUCUUGUAACAUUUGUUGUUUGCUUCAUAACUUUCCCCUUGCAGUCCUGAAAAGUUUACUGAUCAUUAGAUCUGUCUUUUCCUGGUUGUAUUUUACUAUCCGAGGUCCUAAUAUUCAUUCUUUUAUUUGCUAUUCCAUUCUAUUCAAUACAGUAUCAUCUUGUA